This 824-nucleotide ribosomal RNA is filed under the name uncultured bacterium. RNAcentral describes it as "bacterial SSU rRNA". It matches the Rfam family "Bacterial small subunit ribosomal RNA", at positions 60 to 879 of the family's 1533-position model. The record is from RNAcentral.
AGUCGACGGCAGCACGGGAGCAAUCCUGGUGGCGAGUGGCGAACGGGUGAGUAAUGUAUCGGAACGUACCUUUCAGUGGGGGAUAACGUAGCGAAAGUUACGCUAAUACCGCAUAUUCUGUGAGCAGGAAAGCAGGGGAUCGCAAGACCUUGCGCUGAUUGAGCGGCCGAUAUCAGAUUAGCUAGUUGGUGAGGUAAAGGCUCACCAAGGCGACGAUCUGUAGCGGGUCUGAGAGGAUGAUCCGCCACACUGGAACUGAGACACGGUCCAGACUCCUACGGGAGGCAGCAGUGGGGAAUUUUGGACAAUGGGCGCAAGCCUGAUCCAGCAACGCCGCGUGCAGGACGAAGGCCUUCGGGUUGUAAACUGCUUUUGUACGGAACGAAAAGGUCUGCCCUAAUACGGCGGGCUCAUGACGGUACCGUAAGAAUAAGCACCGGCUAACUACGUGCCAGCAGCCGCGGUAAUACGUAGGGUGCAAGCGUUAAUCGGAAUUACUGGGCGUAAAGCGUGCGCAGGCGGUUUUGUAAGACAGAUGUGAAAUCCCCGGGCUCAACCUGGGACCUGCAUUUGUGACUGCAAAGCUAGAGUAUGGCAGAGGGGGGUAGAAUUCCACGUGUAGCAGUGAAAUGCGUAGAGAUGUGGAGGAAUACCGAUGGCGAAGGCAGCCCCCUGGGUUAACACUGACGCUCAUGCACGAAAGCGUGGGGAGCAAACAGGAUUAGAUACCCUGGUAGUCCACGCCCUAAACGAUGUCAACUAGUUGUCGGAGGGGGAGACCUCUUUGGUAACGCAGCUAACGCGUGAAGUUGACCGCCUGGGGA